GACGAACGCUGGCGGCGUGCUUAACACAUGCAAGUCGAACGGAAAGGCCCUGCUUUUGUGGGGUGCUCGAGUGGCGAACAGGUGAGUAACACGUGAGUAACCUGCCCUUGACUUUGGGAUAACUUCAGGAAACUGGGGCUAAUACCGGAUAGGAGCUCCUGCUGCAUGGUGGGGGUUGGAAAGUUUCGGCGGUUGGGGAUGGACUCGCGGCUUAUCAGCUUGUUGGUGGGGUAGUGGCUUACCAAGGCUUUGACGGGUAGCCGGCCUGAGAGGGUGACCGGCCACAUUGGGACUGAGAUACGGACCAGACUCCUACGGGAGGCAGCAGUGGGGAAUAUUGCACAAUGGGCGGAAGCCUGAUGCAGCAACGCCGCGUGCGGGAUGACGGCCUUCGGGUUGUAAACCGCUUUCGCCUGUGACGAAGCGUGAGUGACGGUAAUGGGUAAAGAAGCACCGGCUAACUACGUG
This 468-nucleotide ribosomal RNA is filed under the name uncultured bacterium. RNAcentral's name for it is "partial 16S ribosomal RNA". It matches the Rfam family "Bacterial small subunit ribosomal RNA", at positions 28 to 507 of the family's 1533-position model. The record is from RNAcentral.